UUCAAGUCCCCUCUGCGUCCCGCGCCGCCGCGGCUCUGUUUCCAGUCGAGCAGAGGACGCCCGCUCAUCUUGCCGGUUGACCGUGUGCCGCCCGCGUUGGCCUAUCCAGCCACUGGCCCAGCUCCAGCCACUCCUGCACCACAUCGGGCCCAGAUCUGCCAGCUCCCUGGAGCCUAAUGUGAGCAGCGCAGAUCCAUCUAUUUCGGCCCGGCUACAUUUUUUUCCCCUGCUGAUGAUUUUUCUAUUUUUCCAAUGCAUGCAUAAUUACAGGAAUGCCACUGUUUUGUAUUGUUAAUAACUAAACAUGCAUGCAUCCAAAUUAAACAAACUAUAUAUGUAAAAUGCUUAGAAUUUCAUCUAGUUUCAUAAUAUGCCAUUUUCAUCCAUGUUUAAAAUGUUUAACUUGUUGUUUGUUUAAAUUUGCUAACAUGCCAUGUUAAAAUGCUUUAUUUCAUAACUAAGUAGCCGUAGCUCCAAUUUUAAUAAACUUUAUAUGUAAAUGGGGUGGAAAAAUGCCUAGAUUAACUUGGUGCACUCAUCUUGCAUGUUUAACAACAUUAAAAUAUGGUUUAGGGAAGAACAGUACCGAAUCUAAAAUAUGCACAUGGGGAUUUUCCGGACUUGUUGUUUAUUAUUCCGGCCUUAUUUAAAUUUGCCUAAAUAGAUGGCUUUAUUAUGUUUCACCUCUUGCCAUGUUUAACAACAUUUAAUAUUGUUGGGUACAUAACCGAGAUCAAACUAAAUAAUUGCAUGUGGUGUUUUGUCAAUAUGCAACUCGUUGCAUAUUGAGCUCCACUUAAUUUGUAGUAUUGUGUGUUGCAGUUUGCCAUGCCAUGCCUCUUUAAACCGGACAUGCAUCAUACUUGAUUGUGCAUCAUGCCAUGAUUAUGCUUGUGUGUUUACCAUGUUGUUUGUUUCUUUUCGGUGUUGCUUCUUAGUUCCGGUAAUGUUGCGAUUGUGAG
Molecule: long non-coding RNA, 962 nt
Filed under: Triticum aestivum (bread wheat)
Lineage: Eukaryota; Viridiplantae; Streptophyta; Magnoliopsida; Poales; Poaceae
Description: long non-coding RNA (TAES_LNC022524)
Source: RNAcentral